This 253-nucleotide ribosomal RNA is filed under the name uncultured bacterium. RNAcentral's name for it is "partial 16S ribosomal RNA". It matches the Rfam family "Bacterial small subunit ribosomal RNA", at positions 524 to 776 of the family's 1533-position model. The record is from RNAcentral.
AACGUAGGAGGCAAGCGUUAUCCGGAGUUACUGGGCGUAAAGCGCGUGUAGGCGGUCCGGUAAGUCCGCUGUGAAAGUCGGGGGCUCAACCCUCGGAUGCCGGUGGAUACUGUCGGGCUUGAGUACGGAAGAGGCGAGUGGAAUUCCUGGUGUAGCGGUGAAAUGCGCAGAUAUCAGGAGGAACACCAAUUGCGAAGGCAGCUCGCUGGGACGUUACUGACGCUGAGACGCGAAAGCGUGGGGAGCAAACAGG